Molecule: ribosomal RNA, 1165 nt
Filed under: human gut metagenome
Description: bacterial LSU rRNA
Rfam family: Bacterial large subunit ribosomal RNA
Source: RNAcentral
UAGUGGAGGUAGAGCACUGAAUGGGCUAGGGGGCAUAGCGCUUACCGAACCUUAUCAAACUCCGAAUGCCACAUACUAUUAGUCCGGCAGUCAGACUGCGAAAGAUAAGUUCCGUAGUCAAAAGGGAAACAGCCCAGAUCGUCAGCUAAGGUCCCAAAGUGUAAGUUAAGUGGAAAAGGAUGUGGGAUUUCUAAGACAACUAGGAUGUUGGCUUAGAAGCAGCCACUCAUUAAAAGAGUGCGUAAUAGCUCACUAGUCGAGAGAUCCUGCGCCGAAGAUGUCCGGGGCUCAAACUUACCACCGAAGCUACGGGUUCACACUUAUGUGUGAGCGGUAGAGGAGCGUCGUAAUCGGGCUGAAGUCGUACCGUAAGGAGCGGUGGACUGAUUACGAGUGAGAAUGUUGGCAUUAGUAGCGAGAUGUGGGUGAGAAUCCCACAGGCCGAAUAUCUAAGGUUUCCUCAGGAAGGUUCGUCCGCUGAGGGUUAGUCGGGACCUAAGCCGAGGCCGAAAGGCGUAGGCGAUGGACAAUCGGUUGAUAUUCCGAUACCACUACUGAUCGUUAUUAUCGAUGGUGUGACGGAGAAGGAUAGAGUGUGCUAGCUAUUGGAUGCUAGUCUAAGCGUUUAGGGAGUUAGGAAAGGCAAAUCCGUCCUAACAAUUCUGAGGCGUGAUGGGGAAGGUUCUACGGAACCGAAGUACUUGAUUCCAUGCUUCCAAGAAAAGCAUCUAGAGAGAGAUGUAGUGCCCGUACCGCAAACCGACACAGGUAGAUGAGGAGAGAAUCCUAAGGCCGGCGGAAGAAUCACAGUUAAGGAACUAGGCAAAUUGACCCCGUAACUUAGGGAGAAGGGGUGCCUGUGAGAGCAGGCCGCAGAGAAUAGGCCCAAGCAACUGUUUAGCAAAAACACAGGUCUCUGCUAAAGCGAAAGCUGAUGUAUAGGGGCUGACGCCUGCCCGGUGCUGGAAGGUUAAGGGGAACACUUAGCGCAAGCGAAGGUGUGAACUUAAGCCCCAGUAAACGGCGGCCGUAACUAUAACGGUCCUAAGGUAGCGAAAUUCCUUGUCAGGUAAGUUCUGACCCGCACGAACAAUGUCGUCAACUUAGUAAAUUAAGACAGGUAAAAAUAUACUUAUAUCUAAUUAUUUUUAUUUGAGUUAUUUAA